RNAcentral lists this ribosomal RNA (200 nucleotides) under uncultured organism. RNAcentral's name for it is "partial small subunit ribosomal RNA". It matches the Rfam family "Bacterial small subunit ribosomal RNA", at positions 1184 to 1382 of the family's 1533-position model. The record is from RNAcentral.
GUCAAGUCAGCAUGGCCCUUACGCCUGGGGCGACACACACGCUACAAUGGCCGGUACAAAGGGUCGCCAACCCGCGAGGGGGAGCCAAUCCCAUAAAGCCGGUCGUAGUCCGGAUCGCAGUCUGCAACUCGGCUGCGUGAAGUCGGAAUCGCUAGUAAUCGUGAAUCAGCGAUGUCACGGUGAAUACGUUCCCGGGUCUU